RNAcentral lists this transfer-messenger RNA (400 nucleotides) under Constantimarinum furrinae. Its description in RNAcentral is "Standard tmRNA". It matches the Rfam family "transfer-messenger RNA". From Rfam's summary of the family: Bacterial tmRNA, also known as 10Sa RNA or SsrA, is named for its dual tRNA and mRNA-like properties. Its role is to liberate the mRNA from a stalled ribosome. The record is from Rfam by way of RNAcentral. Lineage: Bacteria; Pseudomonadati; Bacteroidota; Flavobacteriia; Flavobacteriales; Flavobacteriaceae.
GGGGCCGACUGGUUUUGACAGCGGGUCUAAUUGUAAUGUAAGCAUGUCGAGCGCUGGGAAACAGCUCGUAAAUCUCAUUUUUCACACUUUUUAAACGGCGAGAAUAACUACGCCCUAGCUGCAUAAUCCGAAUUAUAGUAGGAUAAUGCCUCGGCCCGCAAGGCGGGCAAGCAGGAACUCACUCGAACGCCUUGGUUUACGGCAGUCGGUUUAGUGAGUUCGUAAAAGUAGACCUAUCGGGUACAGGGCGUUGAUGUAUCUGAGACAUUUAAGCGGCGAUAAGGGGUGCGUUGGUAGUUUUCGACCGGCAAGCCCUCGAAAACCUAAAUGAAAACUAAGCAUGUAGAAAGCGUUAUGGUUGCACGUUUGGACGAGGGUUCGACUCCCUCCGGCUCCACGA